AGUACAGAGGGUUGCCAAGCCGUAAGGCGGAGCUAAUCCCUUAAAGCUACUCUCAGUUCGGAUUGUAGGCUGAAACUCGCCUACAUGAAGCUGGAGUUACUAGUAAUCGCAGAUCAGAAUGCUGCGGGGAAUGCGUUCCCGGGUCUUGUACACACCGCCCGUCACACCACGGGAGUUGGAGACGCCCGAAGCCGAUUAUCUAACCUUUUGGAAGAAGUCGUCGAAGGUGGAAU
RNAcentral lists this ribosomal RNA (233 nucleotides) under Clostridioides difficile. RNAcentral describes it as "partial 16S ribosomal RNA". It matches the Rfam family "Bacterial small subunit ribosomal RNA", at positions 1236 to 1468 of the family's 1533-position model. Lineage: Bacteria; Bacillati; Bacillota; Clostridia; Peptostreptococcales; Peptostreptococcaceae. The record is from RNAcentral.